UUUUCGUCUGCCUUUGCUCGUAACAUGUCUUGUCUGAAUGAAAUUAAUAUUAUUAUUUUCUAAAUCAUAUUAUUUUUAAUUAUUAAUUAUUUUCCCUUUCUCACAUUAUUUUGGAUUUUCGACCAAAAUUUUCGCAAGCUCGAAAGUCCUCUCUUUUUCUUUCGCUCGUUCGAUGGCUUGCACGUUCACUUUCUCAAUUCCUAGGGUUUCUGUUCAUCCUCUUGAGGUAUUUUCAUUUUGCAGAUCUAGUUUGGAUUUAUUUAAAAUGCAUCCUCCAGCUCUAGAUCGCACUCUUUCUCUAUGGAAUUUGUUGACAUUUGAUCGUUUCAUGUUUUCAUUAUGCUGAAAGGUUUGAUUUUUUGUUUGAAUUUGUUGAUGUAGCAGAUUGAAGACUUUUUAUUAUUAUUAUUAUCUGUUGUUAUUGUUAUGGCAAAAUUAAAACACAUGAAAUUUGAACAUUCGUCAUGGAGAAUUUGAACAUUCUUCAUUUAAUCCAUGCUAUAGCUAAAACUAAAACACAUGAAUUUGAACAGAUGAAAUUCCUGUGGUUCAGCUAUUGUACAACGAUGUUAGGCAACUCAAAAGAUAGAUAGAUAGAUUUAUUAGUGCUCUUGUUGUAAGCUUAUUUGAGAAGUAACGUUGAUCAUUAGUUUGUCCUCUUUGUUUUGCUUUUGAUCCUGAGCAACAAGCUUAGCUUGAGCCUCGAAAUUGUUGCCAUGUUAUCGUUUUAUAUUAUCUUAUUCGUUUAUAAUUUUAUACUUCUAGAAUGCCUUACAAUGAUUUCCCUCGCUCACAUGCCCACCUUUUCCCAUUCUGUUAGACUCUUAGUCAGGUCAAAUUUAAUUAUUGCCUUGUUUAAUUGGUCUGUUCUGUGCAUGCUAAUCACUUCCUUUCUCUUACAUGAAUUCAUUUCACAAUCAGGUUUCAUAUACAUAAUCUUUAUGUUGCAGAGAAAUUUCAAGUUUUUAAUCCUGGAAAAGGAACGGUAUUGUAAUCUGGGACAAGAAACGAUACUGGAAGUGAAAAAACUAGGUCAUGAUGGUUGAUUUGGGCAUUUAACUUGCAAGGGUAGUGACCAGCCUGGAUGGGUAUGGUCCAUUUCUUUUGGUAUGGCUGGUCACUGGGUCAUUUGGGCUUCUAGCCAUCAUCUUUGCAUUUCUUAAAUGGCAGAAAAGGACAUCUCUAAAUUGGGUUAAAGCUGCAGCUAGAGCAAAGAAAGAAGUCUGAAAAAGCUAAAAGUUCCUUUAUCACAUCAUACGUGGAUGGAAGAUAUGACUAACGGUGAACAGCCAUCCACUUCUUGUGUUUGCUUGACUUCCUUGGUGUUUCUUCAUAACCAAGGAACAAAAGCCUCUUAUCGCACUCCUGUUCAUCAUUGCUCUGUUUGUGGUGUAGCAGCUCAUUUCUAUUGUUCUCAGUACGCAGUAAGGGAUUGCAAGUGUGUGGCACGAGCUGGUUUUACCCAUGUCCGACACCACUGGUCCGAAAGAUGGGUUAAUGUGCAUGAUAAUCCGGAGAUCUCGGCCUUCUGUUUUUAUUGUGAGGAGCCAUGUAGUGUUCCUCUCCUUGAUGCUUCUCCUACAUGGCAUUGCCUAUGGUGUCAGCGCCUCAUACAUGUCAGAUGUCACAACAAAAUGGCAAAAGAAUGUGGUGAUGCUUGCGAUUUUUGUACUCUUAGCAGAAUUAUUAUUUCUCCUUUGUGUGUGAAAGAAGUUGGCCACUAUAAUGGAGGUUACUGUGAGAAUAGCAAUAUUGAACAGAAUUUUAACAGGGAGAAGCAGAGAAUCUUAGGAGAAGAAUUGAUGUAUUCAUUCAUUGAUUUAUCAAC
This 1828-nucleotide long non-coding RNA is filed under the name Prunus dulcis (almond). RNAcentral describes it as "sRNA ncRNA". The record is from RNAcentral. Lineage: Eukaryota; Viridiplantae; Streptophyta; Magnoliopsida; Rosales; Rosaceae.